Molecule: long non-coding RNA, 781 nt
Organism: Epinephelus moara (kelp grouper)
Lineage: Eukaryota; Metazoa; Chordata; Actinopteri; Perciformes; Serranidae
Exons: 4
Source: RefSeq, a predicted model, not a curated record
ACCCAGAGUUAUAUGACCUGUCUUCGUCGUACUACUUUGACUCCAACAGAAGGAACAAUGCCUGGAGAAUUAUCAGCUCGGAGCUUGGGAUAACUGGCUUGACGUUUGGGCUGUACAUGUCUGUGUUGAGGAGGAUGAUGGCAAAGGCCAGGAUGAAGAUGGUGUCGGGGUUCCUGAACUGUCGCACCACACCAGGGUUACAGAUGCAAUAACGUUGGCUGCAAAGAGGAUAUUGGACACAAACUUAUCAGUCUGGGGAUCAUGUUGACCAGGAGAGUCCGACAACAAUACAGCCAAAAAUCACCGGUGCCUGGACAGCGUGACGUGUGUGGUUGUGCUGCUGCCGUGGUCCUGCCAGAUGCCUCCUGCUGCUGCUGCUGCCAUCAUUAGUCAUUAGUCAUACUUCUACUGUUAUUAUACACAUAUGACUAUUGUCACACAUGUAUACUGCCAGAUAUUAAUACAUACUUUCAACAUAUUGUACCACAGUAGCCAGAACUAUAACUUAGUUAUAUCUUAUCCGCUGCGAGGGUCAUAAGGACAGAAGGAUGUCGUAUGCUGUAAAGCCCUGUGAGGCAAAUUGUGAUUUGUGAUAUUGGGCUUUAUAAAUAAAAUUGAUUGAUUGAUUGACUUCCCUUCACUGAUCAGAGUCCUAUGAUCUCUACGCUGUGGCCACAGCGGGUUUCCAUGGCAACGCCUGUGAACUACAGAGAUUAAAUAGUCCGCUCAGCUGUGGCUUGUGAAAAACUCAUGAUUUUAACUGUAAAACACAUUAAAGCAU